RNAcentral lists this transfer RNA (73 nucleotides) under Camelus dromedarius (Arabian camel). It matches the Rfam family "tRNA". Rfam says of the family: Transfer RNA (tRNA) molecules are approximately 80 nucleotides in length. The record is from Rfam by way of RNAcentral. RNAcentral also lists the same sequence under 1 other name. Lineage: Eukaryota; Metazoa; Chordata; Mammalia; Artiodactyla; Camelidae.
GAGGGUAUUGCUCAAGAGCUAGGGCACAUGCUUAGCAUGCACAAGGUCCUGGGUUCAAUCCCCAGUGCCUCCU